UACGGAGGGUGCAAGCGUUAUUCGGAAUUACUGGGCGUAAAGGGCGCGUAGGCGGCCAUCUAAGUCAGACGUGAAAUCCCCCGGCUUAACCUGGGAACUGCGUCUGAUACUGGAAGGCUUGAGUAUGGGAGAGGGAUGUAGAAUUCCAGGUGUAGCGGUGAAAUGCGUAGAUAUCUGGAGGAAUACCGGUGGCGAAGGCGGCAUCCUGGACCAUAACUGACGCUGAGGCGCGAAAGCUAGGGGAGCAAACAGG
Molecule: ribosomal RNA, 253 nt
Filed under: uncultured bacterium
Lineage: Bacteria
Description: partial 16S ribosomal RNA
Rfam family: Bacterial small subunit ribosomal RNA
Source: RNAcentral